Molecule: non-coding RNA, 119 nt
Organism: Xylaria sp. FL1042
Lineage: Eukaryota; Fungi; Ascomycota; Sordariomycetes; Xylariales; Xylariaceae
Source: the annotation of a GenBank genome assembly
GGGCUUGUGGUUUAGUGGUAUAAUACUCCCUUAGCAUCUGAUGGUGUUCUUCUCCCUUUCGAGAAGUCCGCCCACGAGAAACUUGGGAGUGGUCCGGGGUUCGAUUCCCCGCGAGUCCA